Molecule: long non-coding RNA, 3045 nt
Organism: Triticum dicoccoides
Lineage: Eukaryota; Viridiplantae; Streptophyta; Magnoliopsida; Poales; Poaceae
Exons: 4
Source: RefSeq, a predicted model, not a curated record
GUUAGGGUCCUGAGCUGCAUUUUACUAGGAUUUUGUUAAUUCUAUAAAUGUGGUGUUGCAAGUGAAGGUUUAGAGGUCUAAAAGCUGCAUGUAUAAUACCAUGAAGUACGAUCUUAGGAAAAAUUCACAAUAAACACGGCAUUUGUAGGUUAGCACUGAGAAUGUACAGUCUGGACAGAAUCAUGAGGCAAGCAGUAUUUCUUGAUAACUGCCACAAAGCACAUUUUAUGUGAUGAUGUCCCAAACCAAAACGCGCUUGCAGUUAUAGAAGCAAACAAAACUUUACCAAUUAGAAACCAGCUCAGGUAAACAGAACAUCCUGCAGCCAUAUUUAGCUGUGGCAUGAAGCAGAAAUCUUUCCCUAAUAAUAAAGCAAAUAGUGCUUCUGCCCGCCCGCUCACCGUCGUUAAGUUAACCCUAAAAAUUGCAAAUAAUUACCCACCAUGCCAUCCAUAAUAAUCAAUAGUUAAAAAACGGUUCGUUAAAAAUAGGAACCUCGCGAAUAGCAUCACUGCAUUGGGCCUAUUUCGGCCUGCCCUAACCCCGUGCUCUUCGGCCCGCUCCUGUCCCCGUGCGGUGAUCCGUCUCCUCUCCACCCCUGCGAUGACCUAUCCCAUAGCCCCUGCCCACCCCCUCCGCCGCCGGCGCCGGUGCCUCGAAGGUCAAGGGAAGACCCUCUACUCGGCCCCCAUCGCCGUCCGCGCCGCCGCCCUAUGCCGCCGCCACCACCGCCGUCCAAAUCGCCACCCCCAUAGCCGUCCAAACUGCUCUCGGCAACACCUCUCCAUCCCACGGCUGCCGAAGACAGGGAGGAGGACGAGGCUGGCUAGGCAGGGAGGCCGAGGGUGAAGUGCAGUGGGAGGCGCAUCGGUUAGUGCAGAGGGAGGUCUAUGGUCAGCUCAUUGGAAUCUCACAGGCCACCACGGGGAGAGCAAUCACGCAGGCACAUCAACCUCCCCCACCAGGUUUCUUACUGUGUGCGUGGAUGGGGCAUCGGAAGGAUAGAUGGCAGUACUCGUGUGGAUGCAACAACUGACUAUGUUGUGGUGUUCAGGAAGGAGCGCAGAUACAGCAGCUGUCCAUCUGCAACCGCGGCCACGGGUGCCUAAUCUAACGCGACCUCCUGUUUUGACAUCGUCCUUGGUAGCUGCAAGCGUGGAAACAACCUUGGCAGUGCAGCGGCAGCCAUGAGAUACUCAUUUUUGUCUGUAGCUACACAAUCCAACUACUCAAAGGAACAUACAGUUCUAGAAGUGAGAACUGUUGAGCUAUUAUAGUGCAGCCUUGGGAUGAUAGAUGUUCAGGCCAGCUAUGCAGACCUUAAGGUAAAUGUUUUUCCAGCUAAUUAACAUGAAAUGUCUUGUAACUUGAACUAAUAAUGAACAACUGAGGAAUGCUUCCUGAAUGAAUCCAAAAUUGUUGGAAACACCACCGUCCAGUUGGAGAGGGAGCUAUCUGGAUCUCUAUCCAACCAGGACAUGUCUGCUUACAACUUUUUGUUGAAAAAGGUUGCGAAAAAAAAUCUAAAUCUGGAGGUAGGUGAUCCCAACUCACAACUAUGGAUAGCAAAAGGAAGAUGCAGUACUUGAUGUGAAAAUUUACAGGAAUAGAUAAUCUAACUUACAAUUAAUAAGCUUAUACUAUUAUUGUUGAUGCAAUACUAAUUUUACACGUUUUUUCAGUUGUAAAUACAAUAUGAAAUAAAAAGUUAUUCACAGGACCAUGGGUGUUUGUUAGUUUGUAUAAUCACACAAAUAAAAUAAGAGUUAAUUUGUCUAUGUAUGGUUUGUAUCCUGUUAUUUGCUACAAUAUUUAGCAAGUGUGCAAGCUAUUUAUGUGAGGUUAACUACGGACCUAUAAGCGAAGGAGUUUUUCUUCUCUACACAAGUAAGGUGUAAGUCAGCGAUCUUGGUUAUAUAGUUGACUUAAAUCCUGAAGGGACGAGCCUGCAUCUUUUCUUUCUGAUUUAAAAUGUAUUCAAAAUUCUUAUGCCCUGGUGUGCUCUAAUUCUUGGUAGUAUGUUCUCACAUGAACAGUCAUUUGAACAUUCAUCUAACUUUCUGCUUAAUAAAUUUGUAGCUGAGAUGAUGUAGCCGAAGGCACACUUCGGUAUUGUUUUAUUUCAGUCUUCCCUUAUCCUUUUUGUCUAAGAGAUAUUUCCCAGCAUGUCUGUCCAAACAUAUAUUACAGUUAUUACUAAGAAGGCUAUCCUCUUUUCUAUUUCAGCUCAAAGAUGGAUCGACCUGCGCAUUGUUGGGAUCUGUUUUAAUUGAAGUACUUCCUUCUACAGAAACAACUGGUACACAAGGAGCGUGUUUCCUUCUACAGAGGUAGCUGGUGCACAUGGAUGUAGUGAAACACGGUCAGAAACACUUGAGAUAUUAGCCGCAUAUAUUGAGAUAUUUCUCCUUUUAUUCUGGGUCCUGUAUCCUAAAAUAAGUAGCCAACUCAUUUAUACAUGGUGGUCAGGGCAACGUGUAACGUCUACCUUUGGUAUUGUAUUAUUUUGUUCAAUGCAAUUCAUCAAAAUGACAAUGCAACAACAUAUGUAAAUGUUCUUUACUACCUUCUCAUUCUGCGCUGAGAUCAAUGAAAGUUGCAGGCAUCUAUAGCUUUGAAGCUAGCUCUUUGGGCGGCUUGAGAUAGGACAGCUACAUUGUUCUUUAAUUAUAGGUUCCAUCAAUGGUAAUGAUGGUUUCCCAACAAGAAUGCUAGGGUAAGCACCUUCAUAUGUUGCUUAUCAUUAUGGUCAAUACAUUAUUGUGCCUUCUGUUUGUGUAAAAUGCGAUUUCUACAUCAUUGAUUGUGGCACUCAGAAAGAGCACUCCCAUUUCCUGUCGAUUUAAUGAUUUAAGAGAAGUUAGGCUAAACUGCAUAUACCAAGGUUAUGUCAUGAUGGAUGUUUUGCAUCAUCAUUAUUACAUUAGAGACGAUUGGUGUUGAACAACUAGAUUAAAUAUGCCCCGUAGCAACGCACGGGCAUUUUUGCUAUUACUCUUAUGUCACUACAGACCUCAUACAUAAUCAACCAAGUUUACAUGCUUA